RNAcentral lists this ribosomal RNA (1241 nucleotides) under metagenome. RNAcentral describes it as "bacterial LSU rRNA". It matches the Rfam family "Bacterial large subunit ribosomal RNA", at positions 1564 to 2815 of the family's 2925-position model. The record is from RNAcentral.
UGAAUACGAGACGCUACGGCGUCGAAGCAGUCUAUGUCAUACUUCCAAGAAAAGCUCGCAAUGUCAUAAACAAAUAAUGCCUGUACCAUAACCGACACAGGUGGGUAGGUAGAGUAUACUAAGGGGCGCGAGAUAACUCUCUCUAAGGAACUCGGCAAAAUGACUCCGUAACUUCGGGAGAAGGAGUGCCUUAUUUAUAAGGUUGCAAUAACAAGAUCCAAGCAACUGUUUAUCAAAAACACAGGUCUCCGCUAAGUCGUAAGACGAUGUAUGGGGGCUGACGCCUGCCCAGUGCCAGAAGGUUAAAGAAGUUGGUUAGCAUUCGCGAAGCUGAUAACUGAAGCCCUGGUGAACGGCGGCCGUAACAAUAACGGUCCUAAGGUAGCGAAAUUCCUUGUCGGGUAAGUUCCGACCCGCACGAAAGGCGUAAUGAUUUGGAUACUGUCUCGGAGAGGGGCUCGGUGAAAUAGACUUGUCUGUGAAGAUGCGGACUACCUGCACCUGGACAGAAAGACCCUAUGAAGCUUUACUGUAACUUGAAAUUGAAAUUGGACUUUAUUUGCGCAGCAUAGGUGGGAGGCGUUGAGAGUAUUCUUGCGGGAAUAUUGGAGCCAUCAGUGAGAUACCACUCUUGUAAUGUUAGAUUUCUAACUUUGGAUCAUUAUCUGGUCAAAGAACAGUUUCAGGCGGGCAGUUUGACUGGGGCGGUCGCCUCCCAAAUGGUAACGGAGGCGUACAAAGGUUUCCUCUGAACGGGUAGAAAUCGUAUCUAGAGUGUAAAGGCAUAAGGAAGCUUGACUGUGAGACCUACAAGUCGAGCAGGGACGAAAGUCGGUCUUAGUGAUCUGACGGUGCUGAGUGGAAAGGCCGUCACUCAACGGAUAAAAGUUACUCUAGGAUAACAGGCUGAUCUCCCCCAAGAGUUCACAUCGACGGGGAGGUUUGGCACCUCGAUGUCGGCUCAUCGCAUCCUGGGGCGGUAGUACGUCCCAAGGGUUGGGCUGUUCGCCCAUGAAAGCGGUACGCGAGCUGGGUUCAGAACGUCGUGAGACAGUUCGGUCCAUAUCCGGUGUAGGCGUUAGAAUAUUGAGAGGAGCCUUCUUUAGUACGAGAGGACCGAGAAGGACAUACCUCUGGUGUACCAGUUAUCGUGCCAACGGUAAACGCUGGGUAGCUAUGUAUGGAGAGGAUAACCGCUGAAAGCAUCUAAGUGGGAAGCCCACCUCAAGAUAAGUAUUCUC